UACCGGCGGUAACAAAAAAAAGAGAAGCCCACUCGAUACUUGGCCCAUAACCCAAACCUGUUACGCGAAAAAAAACCUGAAACGGCCUCGCCCCUCUCCGACAGCCGACCCCAGCGAUCCAAACCCUAGCUCCGCCUCCGCAUCAUCGUCGGUUCAUCGAGUGAAGCAAGGUGUUAAAUGAGCAACCCUGGAAAAGAAUUGAUUGAGGCCGUUCUGUUUCCACUCUACGGCGAUCACAGACUCCGUUUUGUAUGAAAGUCAAAAGUGGCCCAGCCCAACCCAAACAAGUGAUAGUAUUAAAAAAAAAAUUAGUUAAAACCCGACCCGCAAACCCAAAACCGACCCGUUAACUCAUUAAAGCCCAAAUCCAUGCCCUAACUAAACCAAUUCUCCUCCCGAUCUCUUUCCCAAAACCCCUUCAUCGCCGCCGCGUCCCACUCUCCGCCGCUUCUCGUUCCUCGCAGCCGCCUCCUCCUUCCCCAAAACCCUGAAACCGAUCGCCGCCGCCGCCUCCUCUUCUUCUCUGGAGGCUUCUUCCUCUUCGCCGCCAGCCCUCGUCUUCUCUUUUCAAGUGAAGUAGAUACACUAGUCCUAAGAACAUGGCAAUGAAUUGCACAAGAUCACUGAAACACAUCUAUACCAUUGACAAGGCCAUUAAUAUGAUUGCCAUCAGAAGUUUCGCUGCUGGUCCUAAAUCAAAAAAGAGUGGAAAAGGAGCUGGCGAUGCUCCAAAGGAGUCUGUCCUGACCAAAGAAAUGAAAAGUACCACUGUGUUUGGAGCCAAUAUCUUGAAGGAGGGCACUGAUCCUAAAAUACUGCCAGAUUCUGAGUACCCUGACUGGCUGUUUCACUUGCUAGACAAACGACCUCCACUGAGUGAAC
Long non-coding RNA from Asparagus officinalis (garden asparagus), 882 nucleotides. RefSeq lists it as uncharacterized. The record is from RefSeq and is a predicted model, not a curated record. The transcript is spliced from 3 exons. Lineage: Eukaryota; Viridiplantae; Streptophyta; Magnoliopsida; Asparagales; Asparagaceae.